Molecule: long non-coding RNA, 577 nt
Organism: Paramormyrops kingsleyae
Lineage: Eukaryota; Metazoa; Chordata; Actinopteri; Osteoglossiformes; Mormyridae
Source: RefSeq, a predicted model, not a curated record
GCAGGGGCGUAAGGAGGAAAAGGACCAACCUCUGCUCGAAAGUCCGUGUAGUUCUGUGUCUCACCGCGGUCGGAGGCUGCCGGCUUCCCCCACGAAGAGCUGGGUGCUUACUGCUAUCAUGAGUGUGUUCAACAGUCCGAAAGAGCUCAUCUUGUCUUGCCUGGCAGCAUUACGCAGGAUCCUCUGUAUAUGCCGGCAGCCCCCCGACAGUGGAGAAUGUGACGAGUUACUGCAUCGCCCGGUUCAGGAGACUGAUCCUGCGCCAAACUGCAGUUCUGUGAAGCCCUGGUUUGACCCUGGAAAUGGAUGCUGUUAAUUUCUUGUUAAGAAGCUGCUGCCUUCAUGGGGGCUGGUGUGUGUGGCUCAGUGGGUUAGACCUCUGUGUCUGUGAUUGGAAGGUCGCUGGUCUGAAUCCUGUGCCCAGCAGAACAGUCUCAUCAUUGCAGGACCCUUCAGCAAAGGCCCUUAGCAGCCUGAAAAAUGACCCCUGACCCUGUGCUCUCACUGUAUAUACAGUACUGUGCAAAAGUCUUAGGCAGUCCAAAGAAAUGUUUAAAGCUGUUUAUCUGGGUAGCAA